GCGCGUAGGCGGUUUGAUAAGUCAGAUGUGAAAGCCCACGGCUUAACCGUGGAAGUGCAUUUGAUACUGUCAGACUUGAGUACCAGAGGGGAAAGUGGAAUUCCCGGUGUAGAGGUGAAAUUCGUAGAUAUCGGGAGGAAUACCGGUGGCGAAGGCGACUUUCUGGCUGAGUACUGACGCUGAGGCGCGAAAGCGUGGGGAGCAAACA
RNAcentral lists this ribosomal RNA (208 nucleotides) under uncultured delta proteobacterium. RNAcentral describes it as "partial 16S ribosomal RNA". It matches the Rfam family "Bacterial small subunit ribosomal RNA", at positions 567 to 774 of the family's 1533-position model. The record is from RNAcentral. Lineage: Bacteria; Deltaproteobacteria.